UACGUAGGGGGCAAGCGUUGUCCGGAAUCAUUGGGCGUAAAGAGCGUGUAGGCGGCUCGGUAAGUCCGCUGUGAAAGUCCAGGGCUCAACCCUGGAAUGCCGGUGGAAACUGUCGAGCUAGAGUCCGGAAGAGGCGAGUGGAAUUCAUGGUGUAGCGGUGAAAUGCGCAGAUAUCAGGAGGAACACCAAUGGCGAAGGCGGGUUGCUGGGCUGACACUGACGCUGAACUGCGAAAGCUAGGGGAGCGAACGGG
Molecule: ribosomal RNA, 253 nt
Filed under: uncultured bacterium
Lineage: Bacteria
Description: partial 16S ribosomal RNA
Rfam family: Bacterial small subunit ribosomal RNA
Source: RNAcentral